Ailuropoda melanoleuca (giant panda) is the source of this 3616-nucleotide long non-coding RNA. RefSeq lists it as uncharacterized. The transcript has 7 exons. The record is from RefSeq and is a predicted model, not a curated record. Lineage: Eukaryota; Metazoa; Chordata; Mammalia; Carnivora; Ursidae.
AAGUUUGGGGUGGUUUGUCAUGCAGCAGUGGACAACUGAAAACAGAAAGCAGAGAUGGAGGAAGAGGAGAGGAAAUGUAAGCCUUAAACACCAAAACGCCUCCCGACGGAGACAAGGAGCAGGUCCAAGUUCAGAGUAAUUAGAUGCAAAGUGGAGAAGGCUCUGGACAGCACUCAGGGAGGGGCAGCACCGAGAACUGCUCAGUCACCGGUCCUUCUCCAUCUCCAGGCACAAACAUGGAGUAGCUGGAAGCAGGGUGUUCACACGCAGCAUUAAUCAGGAAGCCGGCUCUCUGGAAAAGCUUGCUCAUUGGUUCACCACCUGCUUGAAGAAACUGGCCUAAAGGUGGGCAACAGAAAGGAGAAGGGGGAAGGAAAGAUCGGUAAGGACUACACAAGCUCUACGUUUUACGACCAGCUCCAAGCCCUGCAACCCGACUGGAUGGCCUUGCAGUGCUGUUAGGAGCACUUGGAGUUGCAAGUGAUAGAAUGUGUAACUCAUGCUGGGCUUCAGCCGUGAAGACAUCUGAAAAUCUGACACAACAAGCAUCCUGGAGAAAGAAGUUUCCCUGUGUUGCUGCCCCAAUAGAAUCGGGUCUUACAGACCAGGAAGACGAGAUCAGAGGGCGCACCUGUGCGUGAUGAGGAAGGACCUGGAGCUACACCGGGCAUCCCAGACUUCUUCGUGCCUCGAGUCUCCAAGUUUCCCAUAUCUUUGGAAUUACUAGAAAAGGCCAAUCCUGCAUGAGAUCUCUGAUUGCUUGUGAGUCUGAUGGAAAAACUCCGACUUUCUGUGUUCUCUCAGAAAGCUGGAUCAAAGGAAUGUUACUGCCUGAGAAGACCUUCGAGAUUGGAGAAGUCCACAGGUCCAGAAGAAGGACUCGUAGGCCAAGUCAGAAGAAAAUAUUCUUUCUACACGGAGACGAGUUGUGUCUGAGGAAGAGCUGUGGCCUCUCUCUCCUCUUCCUGAAGAACGGUCUGACAUCUAGUGAUGGAGUCAGACGUAAAGAAGAGAGAGACAAUCCAUGAAACAUCCAGGUAGCCCACCGCCACUCGGAGCCCAAGACAGAGGGGACGGUCCAGGCGGCAGGGGAGGGGAGGGGCUCAGGGAAACGUCCUGCUGGAGUCUGAGGAGACACGAAAGCAGAUAGGACAGAGGAGAAGGAUGAAAGGACACAGGAGAAGGCCCUGAUCUGGCUGAGUGGGGAGAGCGGACCGUGGGGAAUCUGGGACAGGGGAGGUCAGCAUAGUGAGAGGCCAGGCUGUGGAAAGAUGGUAGAGAUGCAAGCUGCUUUGGACUAGGGGUGACCCUCUGCCUGUCUGCUCUUUAAUUCCUAGGGGCAUGCUUCCAGAAAAGUCUUCUCAGAAAGCCUCCAGAAAACCCUCAGAAACCACUGACCCUAAACAAGGAGGGCAACCUCCCCUGGGUGUUUAGGGCCUAGGCCAACCAUACCUUUCUGAAAUGUGUUGAUGCUCAAUUGGAAACAAGUGAAGUGUGGGAAGAAAAUUACUACGUCAGCUCAGAGAUCUUAGAACUAAUUCUCUGCUCUGUGUUGGUGCUAGAGUGAAGAUUGGGACUAGUCUGAGAUUUACAAGAAGGGCAACCUUGGGUCCUUCUGACUCUUACCCUCCCCUUCUUCCCUGGAGCUCAGACUAGGGUCACAGGCAUAGUUACAGCCUUAUGAGCCGAGGGUAUGAUUUCACAUGCUUAUCAGCCUCUGCGGGACACGUGAGUCUUUUCUGCCUUUAGCUUCUUGACCUUAGCUUCUAUUUAUACCUACAAUGCUCAUCCUUUCAAAUCGAGGGUAAUCCAAUAGCAGCUACAUUUUCAUGCUCUCCUGGAAUAUAAAAAUCUGAAGGACAUAAUAAUUGCCUUUUAUAUUUUUUAAAUGUCUUCUCUGUCUUUGGCAUUAAAUAAAUUUCCAAAAUAGAUCUCUUCCUCCUUCUUUCUCCUGCCUGCCUUUCAAGAGUUUUACUAAAUGUUUUUUUUGCCAAUAGGUCUUUUUCUUAUAAGUCCUCGCAUUUGUUCUAAUUAUAAACUAGCACACAUGGUGACAUAUAUUACUUUCCUAGGCUGAGCUCCAGAAAGCAAUGACAAGCAAAGAAAGAAAAGCUCCGUAAGGAAGCUGAAUUUAGUCUCGGGCAUGGCAAAUUGCCUUUGCUGCUGCAUUUUUUUAAAUCCAAAAAAGAAGUUUUAUUUCUAGCUGAGUAGGUCCCAGUGGGUUUCCCCCUCCUACUACAUUAUUAGCUUCUUUGGGGCACGUAAUGUGUUCUAAUCGUCUUUGCAAUCUCAUGUGUAGUGCCUUGCACCUAGGGGCACGUAGUGAGUGUUGACCUGAAUUAAGUUGCAUUUAGUCAAAUGACAGGUGAUCCCUAAUAGCAGCUCAGAGAAAGGCAAAGAAAUAAACCAUCUUAUGGCGUGGGCAUGCUACUGCCCUUGCCAUAGCUUACCACUUAGCUAACUCAAAAACUGUAUGUAGGCACAUCUCAGAGUAUUUUGACUUAAAAAAAAAUGACCCUUUCUUACCCUCAAAUAAAAAAGUAAGGAGAGAACUCACUCACAAUCCCAUCCCACUGCAAAAUACCAUUUUAAUAACAGUGGUUAUAAACCUCCAGUCUUUUAUGUGCAUAAUUCAGACAUUUAAACAAGAUGUGUACUCUGAGCCCAUAGGGCAAAAUGGGAGGCUGGACACUCAGCAUUAUGGGUUUAGAACAUUCUCUCAUAUCAGUAGACACUCUUCAGUAGACAUUUUUUGCCCCAUUACAUGAUUGAUUGUUCAAUAAUUUACUUCACCAAUCAUCUGUCCAGGUUGUUUUCAUUUUUAAAAAGUAUAAUGGUUUGAUAUCCUUGUUGUUCUUAAAUUCUGUACCCAGCUCUUGUUUCUUCAGGAUAUAUUACCAUAGGUAGAAUUGUUGAAACAAAAGCUAUCUAGAUUUUAAACUAUGGACAAACAUUUCUGAAUCGCUUUUUUUUUUUUAAAGAUUUUAUUUAUUUAUUGGAGAGAGAGAGCAUGAGCGGGAGAGGCAGAGGGAGAAGCAGACUCCCCACUGAGCAGGGAGCCUGAUGCGGGGCUCAAUUCCAGGACCCUGAGAUCAUGACCUGAGCUGAAGGCAGACACUUAACCAACUGAGCCACCCAGGCACCCCUUCUGAAUCACUCUUAAGAAAGGUUAUACUUCUGUGCAUUCCAUGUUCGUGUCCUUUGUCUGUUAAAAAAAGGAGAUGGGUGGUGUUUGUCUUAUUGAUUUAUAAGGGCUCUUUAUAUGUGAAGGAUACUUCCCUUUUCAUAAAAUCAUAAAUUAUACAUUUUUCCUGGUUUGUUUUUUUACUUCUAAGAAUAUUAUGCUUUAUUUGUAGAUGAACAGAACUUUAACAUUUUAUGUAGUCAGAUCUGCCAGUAUUUUUAUUAAUGGAUUUAGUCUUUGGUGUUCUGUUCAGAAAGGCAUUCCCCACCUCAAAACCAGAUCAUUUCACUUGCACUUUAUUUUGGUUGUUUUAUGUCUUUUUUUCUUUUUCUUCUUUUUACUGUCAUCUUUUAUAUGUAUAGAUUUAUUCUUGCAGGUAUAUAUUUUGGUGUACAAAAUGAAAUAUAAUCUAACUCCAAUAAAAAUAUAUAC